Molecule: ribosomal RNA, 386 nt
Filed under: Parablennius yatabei
Lineage: Eukaryota; Metazoa; Chordata; Actinopteri; Blenniiformes; Blenniidae
Description: partial 12S ribosomal RNA
Rfam family: Bacterial small subunit ribosomal RNA
Source: RNAcentral
CUUCGGCGUAAAGCGUGGUUAGAAUAGAAAGAUAAAUUAAAGCCGAAUGCUCCCUAAGCUGUUAUACGCUCUCGAGAGCUAGAAGAUCUUUUACGAAAGUAGCUUUAUUACAUUGAAUCCACGAAAGCUAAGAUACAAACUGGGAUUAGAUACCCCACUAUGCUUAGCCCUAAACUUAGAUAAUUAUAUUACACCUAUUAUCCGCCCGGGUACUACGAGCACUAGCUUAAAACCCAAAGGACUUGGCGGUGCUUAAUAACCCCCUAGAGGAGCCUGUUCUAGAACCGAUAACCCUCGUUAAACCUCACCCUUUCUUGCCUAUUCCGCCUAUAUACCGCCGUCGUCAGCUUACCCUGUGAAAGACAUAGUAGUAAGCAUAAUUAGUU